UUAAGUGCUACAGUGCCUUCUCGUCUGACAGAACCGCAGCAUUGGUUCAUUCUUCCACAUAUUAUUUUCUUAGAGCGCAUUGCCGUGGUGUUAUUGAUUUCACUGAAAACUGAAAUGUGGGCUCUGAACUGCAAUCAUGGAGAACAAGGUAACUGUUUGGAUAAAAGAAGAGUUAAGAGAUGAGGUUGAGGAUUAUCUGUCCAGUCUGGCAGUAAAGAAAGAAUUGCAGGCGGAUGUGAAUCAAGAGUGAGUGAUACAUUUGAGCAGCAGCAUCAGUAGGAGCAGGCAUCAGCUGGCAUGCAGACGUACUCUCUGAUGCAGCUCCUAAUGCGUUGAAGUGGAAAUAAAGUGCAUUUGAUCAGCAGCAGAAAUCAAGACAGCAUGCAGACAAUCUCACUGAUGCAGACCAUAAUCCACUUGACUAGAAGUCAAACCAACAUUGGGAACAGUUUCAAGACUUCGAGUUUCCACUAUAUCCAUCGCCUCCAUCACUAUAGUGCAGCGGAACACAGAACUGUUUCCAGACCUUUUGCUCCCACUAUGUUCAACAGCUGCACCAGUCAUCAAGCCACAGCUCAGUCAUUAAAGAGUGCUGUAAUUCUGCACCUUUUUCCAAUUGACUGCCACCAGAUCAAAGCAUGCUAAUGUUGGUAUAGCACCUAACAUAUACCUUGAAGUUACAAUCGAAAUAUACAAUGUAUGGCACGAUACAAAGGUGCAGAUCAGUGAUAUGGAGUGAGAUCAACUGUGCAGCAAGAUGAAGUGCUUCGAGGAUUGAACAGACAUAGAGUACACACUAUUUCCUUGAGAUAUCAAUAACUUCAGCAGCAAUACCCCAUCCAUUGUCAACAUGUUUGGGGGAGACAUGAUAAGGUUAACAUCUCAAGAUCCAAUUCAGUUUAUAUUUAAAGUGUCCCAAUGUCACAAACCUUUAUAGCCUGUACGGUCUGGUAUGGAUCACUACUGAGAGACACAGUCUACGGUGAAGGUAUGUGCAACUGCUCUGCAAUGACACUGUUGAGCAUCUAUUGCACCACGAAAUUCAUUAUGACAACGAGGAGUUAAAUGUGUGUAUAAGUGCAUGUGUUUGUAUGUGUACUACACUUAAGUCUGCUAGUAUUACUCAUAUAUGCAGAAAUACCACACAAAUGAAGUUUACAGAGUGCAUUCCUAAGCCUGUUAGUGUUCCAGUUGGAUUGCGUGAAAUACAAGCUGAAUUUAAAGCAUAUAAAAAACAAUUAUUAGGAAAGUAUUGCAGAGUGAUGAUUAGCCUUGAUGUAGAAAAAAGGGAAUGACAACGCUUUUUAAAGAUGGUGAUUUAUUUCACAAAGUUCAUAAGAAACAAAACGUAUAUUAACAAUGCGUAAAACUUUA
This is a long non-coding RNA of Schistocerca piceifrons (Central American locust), 1374 nucleotides long. RefSeq lists it as uncharacterized. The record is from RefSeq and is a predicted model, not a curated record. NCBI's taxonomy places the organism in Eukaryota, Metazoa, Arthropoda, Insecta, Orthoptera, Acrididae. The transcript has 4 exons.